RNAcentral lists this ribosomal RNA (325 nucleotides) under uncultured eukaryote. RNAcentral's name for it is "partial 18S ribosomal RNA". It matches the Rfam family "Eukaryotic small subunit ribosomal RNA", at positions 1470 to 1796 of the family's 1831-position model. The record is from RNAcentral.
CCCUUAGAUGUCCUGGGCCGCACGCGCGUUACACUGAUGCAUUCAACGAGCCUAUAACCUUGGCCGAGAGGCCUGGGCAAUCUUGUUAACGUGCAUCGUGAUAGGGAUAGAUUAUUGAAAUUAUUAAUCUUGAACGAGGAAUUCCUAGUAAACGCAGAUCAUCAAUCUGCAUUGAUUACGUCCCUGCCCUUUGUACACACCGCCCGUCGCACCUACCGAUUGAAUGCUCAGGUGAGCCAUUCGGACUUUCAUCAUGCUGGUUUCCAGUUUUGAUGAAGGAAAGUCUUGCGAACCUUAUCAUUUAGAGGAAGGAGAAGUCGUAACA